ACGGGGGGACUCCUACGGGAGGCAGCAGUGGGGAAUAUUGGACAAUGGGCGGAAGCCUGACGCAGCGACGCCGCGUGAGGGAUGACGGCCUUCGGGUUGUAAACCUCUUUCAGCAGGGACGAACCUAGACGGUACCUGCAGAAGAAGCACCGGCCAACUACGUGCCAGCAGCCGCGGUAAU
This 181-nucleotide ribosomal RNA is filed under the name uncultured Nakamurella sp. RNAcentral describes it as "partial 16S ribosomal RNA". It matches the Rfam family "Bacterial small subunit ribosomal RNA", at positions 326 to 524 of the family's 1533-position model. The record is from RNAcentral. Lineage: Bacteria; Bacillati; Actinomycetota; Actinomycetes; Nakamurellales; Nakamurellaceae.